Molecule: small nuclear RNA, 121 nt
Organism: Cavia porcellus (domestic guinea pig)
Lineage: Eukaryota; Metazoa; Chordata; Mammalia; Rodentia; Caviidae
Source: RefSeq, a predicted model, not a curated record
GUAUUGUAUACCAGGAGAGAAGUUUAGCACUCCCCUUCACAGGGAUGGAAGAGGCCCUUGCCUGACACGCAUACAGUUAAGGCACUGCCACCUACUUUGUGGCACUGAUCAGGAGACAUCC